GGGCGCGUAGCUCAGUCGGUUAGAGCGCCUGCUUCACACGCAGGAGGUCACAGGUUCGAGUCCUGUCGCGCCCACCA
RNAcentral lists this transfer RNA (77 nucleotides) under Acidobacteriota bacterium. RNAcentral describes it as "tRNA-Val". It matches the Rfam family "tRNA". Rfam says of the family: Transfer RNA (tRNA) molecules are approximately 80 nucleotides in length. Their secondary structure includes four short double-helical elements and three loops (D, anti-codon, and T loops). Lineage: Bacteria; Pseudomonadati; Acidobacteriota. The record is from RNAcentral. RNAcentral also lists the same sequence under 1 other name.